AUGAACGCUGGCGGCAGGCCUAACACAUGCAAGUCGAGCGGUAGCACAGGAGAGCUUGCUCUCCGGGUGACGAGCGGCGGACGGGUGAGUAAUGUCUGGGAAACUGCCUGAUGGAGGGGGAUAACUACUGGAAACGGUAGCUAAUACCGCAUAACGUCGCAAGACCAAAGUGGGGGACCUUCGGGCCUCAUGCCAUCAGAUGUGCCCAGAUGGGAUUAGCUAGUAGGUGGGGUAAUGGCUCACCUAGGCGACGAUCCCUAGCUGGUCUGAGAGGAUGACCAGCCACACUGGAACUGAGACACGGUCCAGACUCCUACGGGAGGCAGCAGUGGGGAAUAUUGCACAAUGGGCGCAAGCCUGAUGCAGCCAUGCCGCGUGUAUGAAGAAGGCCUUCGGGUUGUAAAGUACUUUCAGCGAGGAGGAAGGCAUUAAGGUUAAUAACCUUAGUGAUUGACGUUACUCGCAGAAGAAGCACCGGCUAACUCCGUGCCAGCAGCCGCGGUAAUACGGAGGGUGCAAGCGUUAAUCGGAAUUACUGGGCGUAAAGCGCACGCAGGCGGUUUGUUAAGUCAGAUGUGAAAUCCCCGGGCUCAACCUGGGAACUGCAUUUGAAACUGGCAAGCUUGAGUCUUGUAGAGGGGGGUAGAAUUCCAGGUGUAGCGGUGAAAUGCGUAGAGAUCUGGAGGAAUACCGGUGGCGAAGGCGGCCCCCUGGACAAAGACUGACGCUCAG
Molecule: ribosomal RNA, 732 nt
Filed under: Raoultella sp.
Lineage: Bacteria; Pseudomonadati; Pseudomonadota; Gammaproteobacteria; Enterobacterales; Enterobacteriaceae
Description: bacterial SSU rRNA
Rfam family: Bacterial small subunit ribosomal RNA
Source: RNAcentral